UAUUGGGGCACUGUGGAGAUGCAAUUACAUUUUCACUUGGAAUUCAGACCAUGCUGGUCCCUAAGUGACUGUCCACACAGCAGUCCAGGAGGCCUCCUUUCUGCUGAAUGGUGCUGGAAGAAAUAGAUGGUCUGAUGAUACAGCAUCCUUACAUACAGAAGCCUUGGAUCCAGCUGCUUUCAGAGGAAAAGAGGGCAGAGGAAAACUUGUCCACCUGGGCUGAAAUAGGCUGCUUUCUCUGUCCUUGCCUGUCGAUGGAGCCAGGAGUACAAGUUCACAACAUCAGGGAAGCAAGAGACUGAGAGAAGGGGAUGGAAAAUGCUGUUGAAAUGGUUGUCAAGGUUGUGAGCCGAGGUCAGGCUGUGCCAAUGAACAGGCCAGGCUCUGGAGGAUGUUGCCAGAUGCAGCAGCAGAAAUAGCUCUGGAAGAAGACCCAAGAUGAGACCUGCCCUCUGUAGGAGUGACCCCUGCAACCUCGAGGUCACUGCUGAGCUGAGCAGAAGAGGGAGCACGAAUGUAGGAGUAGGAGGACCUGAGCUGUUCCCAGUCCCUGGAGCACUGGUCUCCAGUGAUUCUCCCGGAGCUGCAGGCUGAUGUGGAAGAGAGGGCUGUCAAUGCAGACUCGGGGCAGAA
Non-coding RNA from Tinamus guttatus (white-throated tinamou), 633 nucleotides. Lineage: Eukaryota; Metazoa; Chordata; Aves; Tinamiformes; Tinamidae. The record is from RefSeq and is a predicted model, not a curated record.